This 253-nucleotide ribosomal RNA is filed under the name uncultured bacterium. RNAcentral's name for it is "partial 16S ribosomal RNA". It matches the Rfam family "Bacterial small subunit ribosomal RNA", at positions 524 to 776 of the family's 1533-position model. The record is from RNAcentral.
UACGAAGGGGGCUAGCGUUGCUCGGAAUCACUGGGCGUAAAGCGCACGUAGGCGGAUUCUUAAGUCGGUGGUGAAAGCCUGGAGCUCAACUCCAGAACUGCCUUCGAUACUGUCUGUCUUGAGUCCGGGAGAGGUGAGUGGAAUUCCUAGUGUAGAGGUGAAAUUCGUAGAUAUUAGGAAGAACACCAGUGGCGAAGGCGGCUCACUGGCCCGGUACUGACGCUCAUGUGCGAAAGCGUGGGGAGCAAACAGG